GACCCCUUCGUCUAGAGGCCUAGGACACCGCCCUCUCACGGCGGCAACACCGGUUCGAAUCCGGUAGGGGUCGCCA
This 76-nucleotide transfer RNA is filed under the name Rhodospirillaceae bacterium. Its description in RNAcentral is "tRNA-Glu". It matches the Rfam family "tRNA". Rfam says of the family: Transfer RNA (tRNA) molecules are approximately 80 nucleotides in length. Their secondary structure includes four short double-helical elements and three loops (D, anti-codon, and T loops). Further hydrogen bonds mediate the characteristic L-shaped molecular structure. tRNAs have two regions of fundamental functional importance: the anti-codon, which is responsible for specific mRNA codon recognition, and the 3' end, to which the tRNAs corresponding amino acid is attached (by aminoacyl-tRNA synthetases). tRNAs cope with the degeneracy of the genetic code in two manners: having more than one tRNA (with a specific anti-codon) for a particular amino acid; and 'wobble' base-pairing, i.e. permitting non-standard base-pairing at the 3rd anti-codon position. Lineage: Bacteria; Pseudomonadati; Pseudomonadota; Alphaproteobacteria; Rhodospirillales; Rhodospirillaceae. The record is from RNAcentral.